This 615-nucleotide ribosomal RNA is filed under the name bacterium. Its description in RNAcentral is "partial 16S ribosomal RNA". The record is from RNAcentral.
UGGUUGCGCCCCCGAUAUUUUGUGUCAGUCGCCGUUAAUUCCCAAGAGUUUUAACCGUGCGGGAGUACUCCCCAGGCCGUGAAGAUAAAGCGUUCGCUACGGCAGAGAGUGGACCAAACCGCCCCACACCGAGUGCACAACGUUUACGGCUGGGACUACCAGGGUAUCUAAUCCUGUUUGCUCCCCCAGCUUUCGUCUCUCAGGGUCAGGUACAGGCCAGAGAGCUGCCUUCGCCAUUGGUGUUCCUCCAGAUAUCUAUCGCAUUCCACCGCUACACCUGGAAUUCCACUCUCCUCUCCUGUCCUGUCGUCGAGCACGCCAGUUUCCAGUGGCUGUUCGGGGUUGAGCCCCGAAAUUUCACACCGGACUUGGCACGCCCCCUACAGACUCUUUACGCCCAGUAAUUCCGAAUAACGCUCGCCACCUACGUGCUUACCGCGGCUGCUGGCACGUAGUUAGCCGUGGCUUCCUCUCGCCGGUACCGUCAUUGAUUCGUCCCGGGUGACAGCAGUUUACAACCCGAGGGCCUUCAUCAUGCACGCGGCAUUGCUCCGUCACGCUUUCGCGCAUUGCGGAAGAUCCUCGACUGCAGCCAAAAAUCCUCGACUGCAACCA